This 117-nucleotide unclassified non-coding RNA is filed under the name uncultured Trichosporon. RNAcentral describes it as "sequence contains ITS1". Lineage: Eukaryota; Fungi; Basidiomycota; Tremellomycetes. The record is from RNAcentral.
GUGAUUGCCCUCUGGGCUUAAAACUAUAUCCAUAUACACCUGUGAACCGUUUGAUUGACUCUUCUGAGUUGAUUUUACAAACAUUGUGUAAUGAACGUCUAGUUAUUAUAACAAAAA